AGAGUUUGAUCAUGGCUCAGGACGAACGCUGGCGGCGUGCUUAACACAUGCAAGUCAAGGGGGCGGAGCAAUCCGCAACCGGCGAACGGGUGCGUAACACGUGAGCGACCUACCUUGUAGCGGGGGAUAGCCGGCCCAACGGCCGGGUAAUACCGCGUACGACCUUCGAGGGGCAUCCCUGGGAGGUGAAAGCAGCAAUGCGUCGAUAGAGGGCCUCGCGGCCUAUCAGCUAGUUGGUGAGGUCACGGCCUACCAAGGCAAUGACGGGUAGCUGGUCUGAGAGGACGAUCAGCCACACUGGAACUGAAACACGGUCCAGACUCCUACGGGAGGCAGCAGUGGGGAAUAUUGGACAAUGGGGGAAACCCUGAUCCAGCAACGCCGCGUGAGGGAAGAAGGCCUUCGGGUUGUAAAGCUCUGUGGGGAGAGACGAAUAAGGUGCAGCUAAUACCUGCAUCGAUGACGGUAUCUCCUUAGCAAGCACCGGCUAACUCUGUGCC
This 500-nucleotide ribosomal RNA is filed under the name uncultured bacterium. RNAcentral's name for it is "bacterial SSU rRNA". It matches the Rfam family "Bacterial small subunit ribosomal RNA", at positions 8 to 509 of the family's 1533-position model. The record is from RNAcentral.